Molecule: non-coding RNA, 91 nt
Organism: Amylocarpus encephaloides
Lineage: Eukaryota; Fungi; Ascomycota; Leotiomycetes; Helotiales
Source: the annotation of a GenBank genome assembly
GGCCUAUUGGUGUAGUGGUUAUCACGUCACUUUUACAAUGAACUAUUUAUUAGAUCAGUGAAGGUCCCAGGUUCGAAACCUGGAUGGGUCA